Molecule: ribosomal RNA, 486 nt
Filed under: uncultured bacterium
Lineage: Bacteria
Description: partial 16S ribosomal RNA
Rfam family: Bacterial small subunit ribosomal RNA
Source: RNAcentral
GACGAACGCUGGCGGCGUGCUUAACACAUGCAAGUCGAACGCUGAAGGCCUGGCUUUUGUUGGGUUGGAUGAGUGGCGAACGGGUGAGUAACACGUGAGUAACCUGCCCUCUUCUGUGGGAUAACGCCCGGAAACGGGAGCUAAUACUGGAUAUUCUCUUAUCUUUGCUGGUUGGUUGGUGGAAAGGUUUUUUGUUGUGGGGGAUGGGCUCGCGGCCUAUGCGCUUGUUGGUGGGUUGAUGGCCUACGAAGGGGUUGACGGGUGGCCGGCCGGAGAGGGUGACCGGGGAAAUUGGGAAUGAGAUAGGGCCCAAAAGCCGACGGAAGGAGGCAGUGGGGAGAAUUGCGCGAAGGGUUAAAGCAUGAUCGCGCGGCGACGCGUGAGGGAUGGAGGCCUUCAGGAUGUAAACCUCUUGCGAGAAUGCUUACGCCGGAACUGAGGCUUGUGGUGAGGGUAGUGAGUAAAAAAGCGCCGGCUAACUACGUG